RNAcentral lists this ribosomal RNA (440 nucleotides) under uncultured bacterium. RNAcentral describes it as "bacterial SSU rRNA". It matches the Rfam family "Bacterial small subunit ribosomal RNA", at positions 338 to 795 of the family's 1533-position model. The record is from RNAcentral.
CCUACGGGCUGCACCAGUGGGGAAUAUUGGACAAUGGGCGAAAGCCUGAUCCAGCAAUGCCGCGUGUGUGGAGAAGGUCUUCGGAUUGUAAAGCACUUUCGACGGGGACGAUGAUGAAGGUACCCGUAGAAGAAGCCCCGGCUAACUUCGUGCCAGCAGCCGCGGUAAUACGAAGGGGGCUAGCGUUGCUCGGAAUGACUGGGCGUAAAGGGCGCGUAGGCGGUUUAUGCAGUCAGAUGUGAAAUCCCCGGGCUUAACCCGGGAACUGCAUUUGAGACGCAUAGACUAGAGGUCGAGAGAGGGUUGUGGAAUUCUCAGUGUAGAGGUGAAAUUCGUAGGUAUUGGGAAGAACACCGGUGGCGAAGGCGGCAACCUGGCUCGAUACUGACGCUGAGGCGCGAAAGCGUGGGGAGCAAACAGGAUUAGAUACCCGAGUAGUC